UAGGGAAUAUUGGACAAUGGGGGCAACCCUGAUCCAGCCAUGCCGCGUGAGUGAAGAAGGCCCUCGGGUUGUAAAGCUCUUUUGUCCGGAAAGAAAAGCAUUCGGUGAAUACCCGGAUGUUCUGACGGUACCGGAAGAAUAAGCACCGGCUAACUUCGUGCCAGCAGCCGCGGUAAUACGAAGGGUGCAAGCGUUACUCGGAAUUACUGGGCGUAAAGCGUGCGUAGGUGGUUGUUUAAGUCUGAUGUGAAAGCCCUGGGCUCAACCUGGGAAUGGCAUUGGAAACUGGGCAGCUAGAGUGCGGUAGAGGGUAGUGGAAUUCCCGGGGUAGCAGUGAAAUGCGUAGAGAUCGGGAGGAACAUCUGUGGCGAAGGCGACUGCCUGGACCAGCACUGACACUGAGGCACGAAAGCGUGGGGAGCAAACA
RNAcentral lists this ribosomal RNA (427 nucleotides) under uncultured bacterium. RNAcentral describes it as "bacterial SSU rRNA". It matches the Rfam family "Bacterial small subunit ribosomal RNA", at positions 355 to 774 of the family's 1533-position model. The record is from RNAcentral.